GGGUUGUGAGGUUAAGCGACUAAGCGUACACGGUGGAUGCCCUGGCAGUCAGAGGCGAUGAAGGGCGUGCUAAUCUGCGAUAAGCGCCGGUAAGGUGAUAUGAACCGUUAUAACCGGCGAUACCCGAAUGGGGAAACCCAGUGUGAUUCGUCACACUAUCAUUAACUGAAUCCAUAGGUUAAUGAGGCGAACCGGGGGAACUGAAACAUCUAAGUACCCCGAGGAAAAGAAAUCAACCGAGAUUCCCCCAGUAGCGGCGAGCGAACGGGGAGGAGCCCAGAGCCUGAAUCAGCAUGUGUGUUAGUGGAAGCGUCUGGAAAGGCGCGCGAUACAGGGUGACAGCCCCGUACACAAAAGCGCAUGUGCUGUGAGCUCGAUGAGUAGGGCGGGACACGUGGUAUCCUGUCUGAAUAUGGGGGGACCAUCCUCCAAGGCUAAAUACUCCUGACUGACCGAUAGUGAACCAGUACCGUGAGGGAAAGGCGAAAAGAACCCCGGCGAGGGGAGUGAAAAAGAACCUGAAACCGUGUACGUACAAGCAGUGGGAGCACCCUUUGGGGUGUGACUGCGUACCUUUUGUAUAAUGGGUCAGCGACUUAUAUUCUGUAGCAAGGUUAACCGUAUAGGGGAGCCGCAGGGAAACCGAGUCUUAAUUGGGCGUUAAGUUGCAGGGUAUAGACCCGAAACCCGGUGAUCUAGCCAUGGGCAGGUUGAAGGUUGGGUAACACUAACUGGAGGACCGAACCGACUAAUGUUGAAAAAUUAGCGGAUGACCUGUGGCUGGGGGUGAAAGGCCAAUCAAACCGGGAGAUAGCUGGUUCUCCCCGAAAGCUAUUUAGGUAGCGCCUCGUGAAUUCAUCUCCGGGGGUAGAGCACUGUUUCGGCUAGGGGGCCAUCCCGGCUUACCAACCCGAUGCAAACUGCGAAUACCGGAGAAUGUUAUCACGGGAGACACACGGCGGGUGCUAACGUCCGUCGUGAAGAGGGAAACAACCCAGACCGCCAGCUAAGGUCCCAAAGUCAUGGUUAAGUGGGAAACGAUGUGGGAAGGCCCAGACAGCCAGGAUGUUGGCUUAGAAGCAGCCAUCAUUUAAAGAAAGCGUAAUAGCUCACUGGUCGAGUCGGCCUGCGCGGAAGAUGUAACGGGGCUAAACCAUGCACCGAAGCUGCGGCAGCGACGCUUAUGCGUUGCUGGGUAGGGGAGCGUUCUGUAAGCCUGCGAAGGUGGCCUGUGAGGGUUGCUGGAGGUAUCAGAAGUGCGAAUGCUGACAUAAGUAACGAUAAAGCGGGUGAAAAGCCCGCUCGCCGGAAGACCAAGGGUUCCUGUCCAACGUUAAUCGGGGCAGGGUGAGUCGACCCCUAAGGCGAGGCCGAAAGGCGUAGUCGAUGGGAAACGGGUUAAUAUUCCCGUACUUGGUGUUACUGCGAAGGGGGGACGGAGAAGGCUAUGUUGGCCGGGCGACGGUUGUCCCGGUUUAAGCGUGUAGGUGUGUGUUCCAGGUAAAUCCGGUUCACUUUAACACUGAGGCGUGACGACGAGGCACUACGGUGCUGAAGCAACAAAUGCCCUGCUUCCAGGAAAAGCCUCUAAGCAUCAGGUAACAUCAAAUCGUACCCCAAACCGACACAGGUGGUCAGGUAGAGAAUACCAAGGCGCUUGAGAGAACUCGGGUGAAGGAACUAGGCAAAAUGGUGCCGUAACUUCGGGAGAAGGCACGCUGACACGUAGGUGAAGUGAUUUACUCAUGGAGCUGAAGUCAGUCGAAGAUACCAGCUGGCUGCAACUGUUUAUUAAAAACACAGCACUGUGCAAACACGAAAGUGGACGUAUACGGUGUGACGCCUGCCCGGUGCCGGAAGGUUAAUUGAUGGGGUCAGCGCAAGCGAAGCUCCUGAUCGAAGCCCCGGUAAACGGCGGCCGUAACUAUAACGGUCCUAAGGUAGCGAAAUUCCUUGUCGGGUAAGUUCCGACCUGCACGAAUGGCGUAAUGAUGGCCAGGCUGUCUCCACCCGAGACUCAGUGAAAUUGAACUCGCUGUGAAGAUGCAGUGUACCCGCGGCAAGACGGAAAGACCCCGUGAACCUUUACUAUAGCUUGACACUGAACAUUGAGCCUUGAUGUGUAGGAUAGGUGGGAGGCUUUGAAGUGUGGACGCCAGUCUGCAUGGAGCCGACCUUGAAAUACCACCCUUUAAUGUUUGAUGUUCUAACGUGGACCCGUUACCCGGGUUGCGGACAGUGUCUGGUGGGUAGUUUGACUGGGGCGGUCUCCUCCUAAAGAGUAACGGAGGAGCACGAAGGUUGGCUAAUCCUGGUCGGACAUCAGGAGGUUAGUGCAAUGGCAUAAGCCAGCUUGACUGCGAGCGUGACGGCGCGAGCAGGUGCGAAAGCAGGUCAUAGUGAUCCGGUGGUUCUGAAUGGAAGGGCCAUCGCUCAACGGAUAAAAGGUACUCCGGGGAUAACAGGCUGAUACCGCCCAAGAGUUCAUAUCGACGGCGGUGUUUGGCACCUCGAUGUCGGCUCAUCACAUCCUGGGGCUGAAGUAGGUCCCAAGGGUAUGGCUGUUCGCCAUUUAAAGUGGUACGCGAGCUGGGUUUAGAACGUCGUGAGACAGUUCGGUCCCUAUCUGCCGUGGGCGCUGGAGAACUGAGGGGGGCUGCUCCUAGUACGAGAGGACCGGAGUGGACGCAUCACUGGUGUU
This 2701-nucleotide ribosomal RNA is filed under the name Salmonella enterica subsp. enterica serovar Ibadan. RNAcentral describes it as "partial 23S ribosomal RNA". It matches the Rfam family "Bacterial large subunit ribosomal RNA". Lineage: Bacteria; Pseudomonadati; Pseudomonadota; Gammaproteobacteria; Enterobacterales; Enterobacteriaceae. The record is from RNAcentral.